GUUUUAAAGUAUAUUUGCUGACUGAUAAAGCUCAUAUAAUAACAUUAAAUGUGGAAUGCUAUCAAAUUGAAUAUGUGUCUUUUCUUGAGAUAACGUCUUCAUUAAAGAGAGAGCAGAAAACAAGCAGGUUGUUGAAGGAAACAGUGUCGCAAUGGAAGGGGAACUCGCGACCACGGCUAGUUCUACAAAUGCUGUUAUUGUAAAUGGGAACAUUUAUUCAUUAUCUUCGCUUCCUUCGGAAGGUGAGAAAACGGACUUGGUAUCUGACAAGUUAGAUCCUUCUAAUGCCACAGGAUUUAUACAAGACGGUGGGGUUAUUAUGGAAACUCCCAAGGGGUUAGUCUGGGUGAAUGUUUCUGAUUUAGUGAAUGCAUAUGGGAACCCUAUCAACAGUGUAGAUUUACAGAGUCACACAGAUCUGUUAGAUCAACAGCAGCAGGAUGUUCUUGAUGAAGACCAAGUAGCCAAAAUAACAGAUGUUCACAAUGAUAUUAACUCUGGACUCACACUAGAUAACCCUCUACAGUUAAUAACAUCUGGGACAACAGUUCCAGUUGCUUUAACAGUAGUGACACCAAAAUCUGCAUCUUCCACAACAUCAACAACUGAACCAAUUGAAGGAGAACCAAAGAAGCGGAGAGGUGGCUGGCCAAAAGGAAAGAAAAGAAAAAAGGAUCUAGGAGAAAACAAAGCACCCAAGGCACCAAUUACUGCCUAUGUACUAUAUGCCAUUGAGAGAAGACAGGCAAUCAAAGCCAGUAACCCAGAGAUUCCAUUCUGUGAAGUGACUAAAAUUCUGGGUAAUGAAUGGUCUUCAAUGUCACAGGAUGAGAAGCAGAAAUAUUUUGAAGCAGCAGAUAAAGACAAGAAACGUUAUGUUGAACAACUGAAGGCAUAUCAGCAAUCUGAAGCUUUUCAGACUUAUCUGAGGAAAAAGAAAAUAAGAAGUUUGGGAGAUAUGGAGGUUUCCCCAGAAAUAGAUUCCACCAUAAUGGACUUGGAGGAAGAAGACCCAAAUGAGCUGUAUUGCAAAGUUUGCAACAUGUAUUUUAGUUCAUUGCACAACAAAAAAGAACACAUGUUUGGCAAGCAACAUCUGCAAGCUAUAACUGGUGAAUUUGAAAAGGAACUGCAGCAGCAGCAGACAGAGUCGGAGACUCUGGGCUCAGAGUUCCUUUCUUCUGGUUCAGACCAGAGUCUCCUGACGUCUUCCCCUCCACGCAGCUAUGGGGCACAGAGGCAGGUCGACAUAGAUGGCUUUAUGCAGGAAUUUCUUGAAAGAAAUAUAGAAAGGGAAGGUGAAAUUAGACAACUGAGAAAAUCUCUUGCAGCAGCCAAAGAUCAAAACAUGGCAUUAUUUCAAAAGGUUCAGGAACUGAAGGAACUGGACAGCAAAUUAGAACAAGACUCUGGCAAUCUCAAAGCUUAUGGCGCAGCUCUAAGUGCACAAAUAGACGGCUUGAAGAUGGUCCCCACAUUGUUUGGUGUGAUCAACUUCUGAAUGUAGUGCAAUUUUAAAAAUAUGGUGCUCACAUACAAUUUCUGAUGUACAUAGUGAAAAUAGUUUUGAUAAAAUAUGAACUUGGUUGAAUUUUCCCUUUCUUAAAUUUUGAAUAAAAGGUUAGAGCAAUAACAUCUCUGUUAAAAUGCAAAGAUUUCUGCUACAUGUAUUCUGCAUAAUAAAUUUUGUGAUCAUGAUGAAUUUCUUCAAAAAUUCCACAAAAGAAAAAAAAAUAAUUUGAAGAUUUCACCUUUCCAUUUUACCAGCAUAUUAGUAUUUUGUAAUACUCAGACAACUUUACGGUAAUCCACUGUUUCUUUGUUUACAAUGUUACCUUGGGUUUACAGAUGAAGACUAGUCAUUGAUGGGACCCGUUGCAUUUUAAGGCUGUGACUGAGCACAAAUGGAUGCCAGAAAAAGGAUUCGAGUAUGUGAAGUACAGUACAUCAUUCGCCAGGAACGUUCCUCCUCUCAUUCAGUAGGACAAGGGACUGAUCUGAAUACGUUGUGGAAGUUGCAAUGGAAAUGUUCGUCAAAAUAUUUUAAGGCUUUUUACAAAUUUGUUGAAUUUAAUAUUUAAUGUAAAGAAUACGAAAACAACUAGGGAUGUGCAGUGUGUUUAAGAAGUUAAUCUAAAGCGAGAAUAAACGACCAAAAAGAGAAUGACCAAAUUCUGCUAGAUUUUGAGGUGAAAAUUACUCAUUGUGGCACGUUUUUUUUAGGGGAAAAAUAACUGCAGCAGCAAUAACACGACCUGCUCUUAGUGAUUC
Lingula anatina is the source of this 2271-nucleotide unclassified non-coding RNA. The record is from RefSeq and is a predicted model, not a curated record. Lineage: Eukaryota; Metazoa; Brachiopoda; Lingulata; Lingulida; Lingulidae.